GAUGAACGCUGGCGGCGUGCCUAAUACAUGCAAGUCGAGCGAACGGACGAGAAGCUUGCUUCUCUGAUGUUAGCGGCGGACGGGUGAGUGACACGUGGAUAACCUACCUAUAAGACUGGGAUAACUUCGGGAAACCGUAGCUAAUACCGGAUAAUAUUUUGAACCGCAUGGUUCAAAAGUGAAAGACGGUCUUGCUGUCACUUAUAGAUGGAUCCGCGCUGCAUUAGCUAGUUGGUAAGGUAACGGCUCACCAAGGCAACGAUGCAUAGCCGACCUGAGAGGGUGAUCGGCCACACUGGAACUGAGACACGGCCCAGACUCCUACGGGAGGCAGCAGUAGGGAAUCUUCCGCAAUGGGCGAAAGCCUGACGGAGCAACGCCGCGUGAGUGAUGAAGGUCUUCGGAUCGUAAAACUCUGUUAUUAGGGAAGAACAUAUGUGUAAGUAACUGUGCACAUCUUGACGGUACCUAAUCAGAAAGCCACGGCUAACUACGUG
RNAcentral lists this ribosomal RNA (497 nucleotides) under uncultured bacterium. Its description in RNAcentral is "partial 16S ribosomal RNA". It matches the Rfam family "Bacterial small subunit ribosomal RNA", at positions 28 to 507 of the family's 1533-position model. The record is from RNAcentral.